GACGAACGCUGGCGGCGUGCUUAACACAUGCAAGUCGAACGGAAGGGCCCUGCUUUUGUGGGGUGCUCGAGUGGCGAACGGGUGAGUAACACGUGAGUAACCUGCCCUUGACUUUGGGAUAACUUCAGGAAACUGGGGCUAAUACCGGAUAGGAGCUCCUGCGGCAUGGUGGGGGUUGGAAAGUUUCGGCGGUUGGGGAUGGACUCGCGGCUUAUCAGCUUGUUGGUGGGGUAGUGGCUUACCAAGGCUUUGACGGGUAGCCGGCCUGAGAGGGUGACCGGCCACAUUGGGACUGAGAUACGGCCCAGACUCCUACGGGAGGCAGCAGUGGGGAAUAUUGCACAAUGGGCGGAAGCCUGAUGCAGCAACGCCGCGUGCGGGAUGACGGCCUUCGGGUUGUAAACCGCUUUCGCCUGUGACGAAGCGUGAGUGACGGUAAUGGGUAAAGAAGCACCGGCUAACUACGUG
RNAcentral lists this ribosomal RNA (468 nucleotides) under uncultured bacterium. RNAcentral describes it as "partial 16S ribosomal RNA". It matches the Rfam family "Bacterial small subunit ribosomal RNA", at positions 28 to 507 of the family's 1533-position model. The record is from RNAcentral.